CUUGAUCUUGGACUUCCCAGCCCCCAGAGCUGACUAGAUCGCUAGCUGGCCCUUUGAUUUAACUCUUCAUCUACCAUAGUCAGGUGCCACAGCUUGAUGAACGAGAUAGAAUCGCACAAUGGGAUCAAAGGGACAGCCAGCCCAGUUUAUUUCCAGAGGAAAAGCUUACCAGGACACAAAGGAGGAAAAAAGACUCGGCUUGAAACCAAUUCUUCCCUGAAGUACAAAUAUCUUUGAUGCUAAAAGCAGAAUGGACUGAGAGAUGCCUUGGACAUAAGUGAUUUCACAUCUGUAACUAUAUCCUGCAAACAUUUGUAGACACAUCUUGGGAAAGAAGCACUCAUGCUUGCAUCUGUUUCCAACAUCUGUGCAUUUAAGUCAGCAACAAAAGUCACCAGGCAUUUGAGCUUUCCCUGCUAUAAUGUUUCUGAUUUACCUUGACAGCGUGAGUAAUCCAAUCAAAGACAAUAUUCCUCUUGAUUUCAGUAAUGAGAGAGACUACACUUAUCUGAAACCUGUGUUACAUUCAUCUCACCAAUACAGUACUAAUGAAAAGGACAAAUAACUGAGUCUCUCUUGGUGGCCUGCAUGCAACUGCUUAAAUACAUAAGUGCAUAGCAACAAUAUGUGAAUAACAUAUAAAAAUAAAUAUGUUC
Molecule: long non-coding RNA, 656 nt
Filed under: Homo sapiens (human)
Lineage: Eukaryota; Metazoa; Chordata; Mammalia; Primates; Hominidae
Description: HSALNT0381405
Source: RNAcentral